GCCAGGCAAGGUGGCCCACGCCUGUCAUCCCAGCAGCUCAGGAGGCUGAGGCAGGAGGAUUGCAAGUUCAAAGCCAGCCUCAGCAACUUAGCAAGGCCCUAAGCAAAUCAGUGAGACCCUGUCUCUA
RNAcentral lists this small RNA (127 nucleotides) under Marmota monax (woodchuck). Lineage: Eukaryota; Metazoa; Chordata; Mammalia; Rodentia; Sciuridae. The record is from RNAcentral.